UUAUUUUUUAUUAAAAUUUCCUAAUCUACCCCCAAACCCUAAACUAAGCGGCACUCCCCACCUUUCACACACAACCCUCACACUCAACAAACGAACACACACGCGUAGAAACACAAAAAAGAAAAGAAUGAAAGAAAGGAAAAGAAAAGGGGAACGGGAAAGGGAGCUCGAGGAAGGAGAGGAAGAGAAGGGGGAGUUGUCCACGCCACCACCCAGCUCAACGUCGCCGCCGGUCCACCUUGGAGCAGCCGUCGAAGCAGAAUCACGAGGAGUGAGGGAGACCGCGUCGGUUCACUGUGGAGCCAGCGCCGCUGUCGUCCUCAUCGCGGACCUCCACCGUCGCGUGUUGCCGCCGUCACCACCAAGCUCGCCUUCAUCGCCAUUGUUGCCAAGAAAGAGAAGGACGCGCAACAUUCAAGAGGGAAGAGCUGGAGGAGGGGAAGAACGGCGCUGUUUUGCUGUUCCCCAUCGCAGCUGAAACUCACCGCCGCUGUGGCUACCCGUGCCGCCGUCUGAGUCGCGGGGAAGGAGAAAGAGUUGGGUUUAGCCAUGCCUUGCCUUUGCUACCGGAGACUGCCGCUGGAUCCUCUGUCUUGGGUCGAAUUGUGGUUCGUGCAUGCCGAGUUCAGUAGUCGUGCAUGCGACAUCAAGCUGCCGCGUCGUCAACGGAGUCGCCGCCAUUCUGUUUUAUCGGAUAUUCGUAGGUUCAGUAAGCUAUUCCCUGUUCCGAUUUCUUUUAGUCGCUAUUGUGUGAUAUGUUUCUAAGGUCCUUGCAACGUUAAUGCUUUAGGUUUGAGUUCGGUUCUUACGUGUCGUGAUUAAAGAAGUUGUGGUUGCGGCUGCCUAAGAGGGAAGGUUUCCUUGACGCAUUUGGUUUUCGGAUCUCAGCUUGUCGAGGCAGGGUGUUUUUCUAAAAAACUUAUUUUAUAUUUUAGAAUUGUUAUAAAUGGAUAUGGAUGUGAUAAAUACAAUUUCUGGUGAUUAUGUAAGUCUUAUGUAUUGUCGGGCUGUUUUGGGAUGAAUAUGACUAUUGUUUGAUUGGAUUAUUGUUUGGUUUUGUUAAAUUAUUUCUUUAAAGUUUAGGGAAAUGAGUUUGGUUCG
Arachis ipaensis is the source of this 1101-nucleotide long non-coding RNA. RefSeq lists it as uncharacterized. NCBI's taxonomy places the organism in Eukaryota, Viridiplantae, Streptophyta, Magnoliopsida, Fabales, Fabaceae. The record is from RefSeq and is a predicted model, not a curated record.